CAGGUCAGGCGGGAUUACCCNCUGAGUUUAACCAUAUCUAUAACGG
RNAcentral lists this ribosomal RNA (46 nucleotides) under Psychotria cadigensis. RNAcentral describes it as "partial 26S rRNA". The record is from RNAcentral. Lineage: Eukaryota; Viridiplantae; Streptophyta; Magnoliopsida; Gentianales; Rubiaceae.